RNAcentral lists this long non-coding RNA (879 nucleotides) under Heterocephalus glaber (naked mole-rat). RNAcentral describes it as "lncRNA (ENSHGLG00000035288.1)". Lineage: Eukaryota; Metazoa; Chordata; Mammalia; Rodentia; Bathyergidae. The record is from RNAcentral.
GAAUUGCUGGGUCACAAGAUAGGUUCAGCUUCAGGCUUUUAAAGGUUCCCAGGUGAUUUUUAAACCUACAGCCAGUGUUAAGAAACCACUGGAGGGACCGGGGAUUUAGCUCAGUGGUUCCGUACCUGCCUCGCAAGUGCAAGGUCCCGAGUUUGAUCCCAGGUGAGGCCAUGCAGCCCGUUCCCCAGGUGCGCCAAGGAAGUGACAAGACAGCUGUCCCAUGUGGCAGAGGCUGGCUCUGAGCCACACUGUGUCCUUCACAGGAGAUGUCAUAUCCUGCCACACAGCCCAGGAGCUGCACAUCAAGACCCUUCCUAAGGGCAAACUAGGGUCAUGGGAACAGAGUCAGGUUCAUCCUCAUGAACAGGCUGAAACUGGAGGACAAAAGCAGGGAAAGGUCAAUGAAAGCACAUUCUGGUGUCCUCCACAGCCCCGAGGAGGCCAGCGUCGACAGCAGUGCUGGCAAGGAUGUGGAUAUCAGGACCCUCAGACUUGGCUUGCAGGACAGUAAAAUGGUGCAGUUGCCUGGAAACCACUUUGAGGGCUCCUCACGCAGCUCAAGAGAGCCCUGCAGGACCCAGAAAUGCCAUCCUAGUUGUGCCUCCAAGAGGACUGAAAAUACUACACACAAAUCUCACAGCAACAUUAUUCAUGACCGUCAAAAAGUGGAAACAACCCAACACCCCGCAGCUUCUGAACAGGAAGCCCAGAUGCCACUACAUGCAUGAUCUCAGAAUCACAGUACACAUGGAAGGCAGUCACACAAGACCCCAGAGCACAUGGUUCUGGGGGAUGGAAUGUCCAGUCCAGGCAAAUCCACACAGACCGGAAGGGGCUCAGUAGUUCCUGGGGCCGGGGAAGGCUCAAUGACAAUAAGAG